CCUAACACAUGCAAGUCGAACGCAGUAGCAAUACUGAGUGGCAGACGGGUGAGUAAUAUGUGGGAAUCUGCCUUUUGGUUUGGAAUAACACGGGGAAACUUGUGCUAAUACCGAAUAAGCCCUUACGGGGAAAGUUUUAACGCCGAAAGAUGAGCCCGCACUUGAUUAGCUAGUUGGUAAGGUAAAAGCUUACCAAGGCAACGAUCAAUAGCUGUUCUUAGAGGAAGACCAGCCACAUUGGGACUGAGACACGGCCCAGACUCCUACGGGAGGCAGCAGUGGGGAAUCUUGCACAAUGGGGGAAACCCUGAUGCAGCGAUGCCGCGUGAGUGAAGAAGGCCUUUGGGUUGUAAAACUCUUUCGUCGGGGAAGAAAAUGACUGUACCCGAAUAAGAAGGUCCGGCUAACUUCGUGCCAGCAGCCGCGGUAAUACGAAGGGACCUAGCGUAGUUCGGAAUUACUGGGCUUAAAGGGCUCGUAGGUGGUUAAAAAAGUUGAUGGUGAAAUCCCAAGGCUUAACCUUGGAACUGCCAUCAAAACCUUUUAGCUAGAGUGUGAUAGAGGUAAGUGGAAUUUCUAGUGUAGAGGUGAAAUUCGUAGAUAUUAGAAAGAACAUCAAAUGCGAAGGCAACUUACUGGGUCACUACUGACACUGAGGAGCGAAA
Molecule: ribosomal RNA, 665 nt
Filed under: uncultured marine bacterium
Lineage: Bacteria
Description: bacterial SSU rRNA
Rfam family: Bacterial small subunit ribosomal RNA
Source: RNAcentral